GGGAAAAACAUAAAUGUUUUUCCCACACACUACAUCACCCUGUCAUACGAUCAAUAGUGUUUCCACUUAUCAUGUAUAGUUACUCGAACCCUUUACCUACCGGAUGAUAACAGAGUCGCUUAACCACUUGAGCGUCUCACUUGUCAACCUUGAGUAAAUUAACAUGCUGAAGAAGCUGCAGUUUCGAAGGACUGUUUCCUUACAAGAAGGCAAGUGAUUUUAGAGGGCUGAGCAUGUGUAUUAUCAACUGUACACAACACGAAAUCGGGUCGAUAUAAUGCUAAAGCCAAUCUUUCUUUUCCUGC
RNAcentral lists this unclassified non-coding RNA (305 nucleotides) under Hevea brasiliensis (rubber tree). Lineage: Eukaryota; Viridiplantae; Streptophyta; Magnoliopsida; Malpighiales; Euphorbiaceae. The record is from RNAcentral.